GGAUGAGUAUUCUAAGGCGCGUGGAAGAACUCUCUUUAAGGAACUCUGCAAAAUAGCACCGUAUCUUCGGUAUAAGGUGUGGUUAGCUUCGUACUAGGAUUUACUCCGAAAGCGAAGAAACUUACAACAAAGAGUCCCUCCCGACUGUUUACCAAAAACACAGCACUCUGCUAACUCGUAAGAGGAUGUAUAGGGUGUGACGCCUGCCCGGUGCUCGAAGGUUAAUUGAUGGGGUUAGCAUUAGCGAAGCUCUUGAUCGAAGCCCGAGUAAACGGCGGCCGUAACUAUAACGGUCCUAAGGUAGCGAAAUUCCUUGUCGGUUAAAUACCGACCUGCAUGAAUGGCGUAACGAGAUGGGAGCUGUCUCAAAGAGGGAUCCAGUGAAAUUGUAGUGGAGGUGAAAAUUCCUCCUACCCGCGGCAAGACGGAAAGACCCCGUGGACCUUUACUACAGCUUGACACUGCUACUUGGAUAAGAAUGUGCAGGAUAGGUGGGAGGCUUUGAGUAUAUGACGCCAGUUGUAUAUGAGCCAUUGUUGAGAUACCACUCUUUCUUAUUUGGGUAGCUAACCAGCUUGAGUUAUCCUCAAGUGGGACAAUGUCUGGUGGGUAGUUUGACUGGGGCGGUCGCCUCCCAAAUAAUAACGGAGGCUUACAAAGGUUGGCUCAGAACGGUUGGAAAUCGUUCGUAGAGUAUAAAGGUAUAAGCCAGCUUAACUGCAAGACAUACAAGUCAAGCAGAGACGAAAGUCGGUCUUAGUGAUCCGGUGGUUCUGUGUGGAAGGGCCAUCGCUCAAAGGAUAAAAGGUACCCCGGGGAUAACAGGCUGAUCUCCCCCAAGAGCUCACAUCGACGGGGAGGUUUGGCACCUCGAUGUCGGCUCAUCGCAUCCUGGGGCUGGAGCAGGUCCCAAGGGUAUGGCUGUUCGCCAUUUAAAGCGGUACGCGAGCUGGGUUCAGAACGUCGUGAGACAGUUCGGUCCCUAUCUGCCGUGGGCGUAAGAAGAUUGAAGAGAUUUGACCCUAGUACGAGAGGACCGGGUUGAACAAACCACUGGUGUAGCUGUUGUUCUGCCAAGAGCAUCGCAGCGUAGCUAAGUUUGGAAAGGAUAAACGCUGAAAGCAUCUAAGCGUGAAGCCAACUCUAAGAUGAAUCUUCUCUAAGCUCUCUAGAAGACUACUAGUUUGAUAGGCUGGGUGUGUAAUGGAUGAAAGUCCUUUAGCUGACCAGUACUAAUAGAGCGUUUGGCUUAUCUUUAAUAAAGCAU
RNAcentral lists this ribosomal RNA (1267 nucleotides) under Campylobacter jejuni. Its description in RNAcentral is "partial 23S ribosomal RNA". It matches the Rfam family "Bacterial large subunit ribosomal RNA", at positions 1669 to 2925 of the family's 2925-position model. The record is from RNAcentral. Lineage: Bacteria; Pseudomonadati; Campylobacterota; Epsilonproteobacteria; Campylobacterales; Campylobacteraceae.